This 307-nucleotide ribosomal RNA is filed under the name uncultured Leptophryidae. RNAcentral describes it as "SSU rRNA". It matches the Rfam family "Eukaryotic small subunit ribosomal RNA", at positions 635 to 955 of the family's 1831-position model. The record is from RNAcentral. Lineage: Eukaryota; Endomyxa; Vampyrellida; Leptophryidae.
AACUUCUGGUUCUUUAGUCUUGUACCGUUCUCUUGUAGAACGUUGUGACUAGUCUUAGAACCUUCCUGGUUGAAAGCGCUUCUGCCCUUUAUUGGGUUGGUUGUGUGAUCUGCCUCUUUUACUGUGAGAAAAACAAAGUGCUCAAAGCAGGCUUUACAGCUUGAAUGCGUUAGCAUGGAAUAAUAAGAUAGGACUUUGUUUCUAUUUUGUUGGCUCUGAGGAACAAGUAAUGAUUGAUAGUUGGGGGUGCUCGUAUUUAGCGGUGAAAUGCAUGGACCCGUUAAAGACAAACCUAUGCGAAAGCAUU